Long non-coding RNA from Oncorhynchus tshawytscha (Chinook salmon), 1053 nucleotides. RefSeq lists it as uncharacterized. Lineage: Eukaryota; Metazoa; Chordata; Actinopteri; Salmoniformes; Salmonidae. The transcript has 3 exons. The record is from RefSeq and is a predicted model, not a curated record.
UCCAUGUCUGAAAUGUGCUGUAAAUUUAGUUUGAUUUGAUUAGUGUAGUGGCAAGAGGGAUUUAGUCAUUAAAUUGUUUGCUAUCCAUUUUCCUUUCUUUCUGUGCCACCAAAUGUUUGCAUUUAGGCUACUGAUAAUGUUACCAGGACCACGUUCAGUUGCAAAACGUUCUCGAACGUUGCAGAUAGAAAUUCCAUGAAUGGAGCCAACAUUAUUCCUUAUUCAACAUGUCAGAGAGGCAUGUUUGUUCUAUAUACACAUUUCUAUUGGAACGUUCCAAAACGUGACGUCCUGCUGAAAGCACCGCAGGUUGUUAGUUGUAGCUAGCUAAUGAGGUAACAUAACUGAACAAGGUGUAGCCUAUUCUUUGAAUCAGCUGUGUACUGCUAGGGAAAAAAACAAAAUGUGCCCCUUGGGAGGGAGGGCCCUGAGGGUUAGGAUAACUACCAGUAGAGUUAAUUUAACACAUUUAUUUUAACACUGUGAUUUCAACUAUCCUUGAUUUGCAGGUUGAAAGGGAGACACAAAAGGUGAACUGCUAUAAAAAAAAAAUAGUAUAGAAAAGUAUUUUGUAUUUUGAAAAUGCAAAUUUCAGCUCUCGAAAGUAUCUUGUUACAAAAUACAUUGGGAUUGUAGUUCAGCCCAAUGUAAUUCAAAAAUGACAAAAUACUCAGAAGUAAUUGAAAUACACAUUUAAAAUACAUGUAACAGGAAUACUCGCCAUCUCUGCAUGCAGCAGACAACCCUGGUGAAGUGGCCAAGAAGAUCCCCCAUUUCUUUGAGCUGCCACUGGACGACCAUCUUACCACGACCAGGGAUCUGACCGUGCUGGUGUCUCAGAUGAAUGACAAGCAAAUGGACAAGACAGAGCUGGGCUAACUCCGAGCCAUCAUCCUCUUCAACCCAGAGAGAGGAAGUAGUCAGCCCUCAAGCCCAUGCCAAAUGUGGGGCCAGACUCAGCAUCGGGGUCAAAUUCAGACCCACAAUAACUAUGACUUCAACUGCUGCUGCCACUGUUUUACAGUAAGUAGGUUAGUAAACCUUGUACAAGUA